This 274-nucleotide ribosomal RNA is filed under the name uncultured bacterium. RNAcentral's name for it is "partial 16S ribosomal RNA". It matches the Rfam family "Bacterial small subunit ribosomal RNA", at positions 523 to 796 of the family's 1533-position model. The record is from RNAcentral.
AUACGGAGGGGGUUAGCGUUGUUCGGAAUUACUGGGCGUAAAGCGUACGUAGGCGGACUGGAAAGUUGGGGGUGAAAUCCCGGGGCUCAACCCCGGAACUGCCUCCAAAACUUCCAAUCUAGAGAUCGAGAGAGGUGAGUGGAAUUCCAAGUGUAGAGGUGAAAUUCGUAGAUAUUUGGAGGAACACCAGUGGCGAAGGCGGCUCACUGGCUCGAUACUGACGCUGAGGUACGAAAGCGUGGGGAGCAAACUGGAUUAGAUACCCUAGUAGUCC